GUUCUUUUGUGUUUCAUAAAGUAAUGAUUGUGUUUUCACGUUAUUGUGUGAGGUGUGCCUCCCUCAGACCUUGAUACCAGUCUGCACAUUACCUGACAUGAAA
Molecule: small nucleolar RNA, 103 nt
Organism: Macaca fascicularis (crab-eating macaque)
Lineage: Eukaryota; Metazoa; Chordata; Mammalia; Primates; Cercopithecidae
Source: Ensembl